RNAcentral lists this ribosomal RNA (164 nucleotides) under uncultured bacterium. RNAcentral describes it as "partial 16S rRNA". It matches the Rfam family "Bacterial small subunit ribosomal RNA", at positions 355 to 511 of the family's 1533-position model. The record is from RNAcentral.
UAGGGAAUCUUCCACAAUGGGCGAAAGCCUGAUGGAGCGACGCCGCGUGUGUGAUGAAGGGUUUCGGCUCGUAAAACACUGUUGUAAGAGAAGAAUGACAUUGAGGGUAACUGUUCAAUGUGUGACGGUAUCUUACCAGAAAGGAACGGCUAAAUACGUGCCAG